RNAcentral lists this ribosomal RNA (301 nucleotides) under uncultured bacterium. RNAcentral describes it as "partial 16S ribosomal RNA". It matches the Rfam family "Bacterial small subunit ribosomal RNA", at positions 509 to 807 of the family's 1533-position model. The record is from RNAcentral.
CAGCCGCCACGGGAAUACGAAGGGGGCUAGCGUUGCUCGGAAUCACUGGGCGUAAAGGGUGCGUAGGCGGGUUUUUAAGUCAGAGGUGAAAUCCUGGAGCUCAGCUCCAGAACUGCCUUUGAUACUGAAAGUCUUGAGUAUGGGAGAGGUGAGUGGAACUGCGAGUGUAGAGGUGAAAUUCGUAGAUAUUCGCAAGAACACCAGUGGCGAAGGCGGCUCACUGGCCCAUAACUGACGCUGAGGCACGAAAGCGUGGGGAGCAAACAGGAUUAGAUACCCGAGUAGUCCCUGUCUCUUAUAC